AUUGAACGCUGGCGGCAGGCCUAACACAUGCAAGUCGAACGGUAACAGGAAGCAGCUUGCUGCUUUGCUGACGAGUGGCGGACGGGUGAGUAAUGUCUGGGAAACUGCCUGAUGGAGGGGGAUAACUACUGGAAACGGUAGCUAAUACCGCAUAACGUCGCAAGACCAAAGAGGGGGACCUUAGGGCCUCUUGCCAUCGGAUGUGCCCAGAUGGGAUUAGCUAGUAGGUGGGGUAACGGCUCACCUAGGCGACGAUCCAUAGCUGGUCUGAGAGGAUGACCAGCCACACUGGAACUGAGACACGGUCCAGACUCCUACGGGAGGCAGCAGUGGGGAAUAUUGCACAAUGGGCGCAAGCCUGAUGCAGCCAUGCCGCGUGUAUGAAGAAGGCCUUCGGGUUGUAAAGUACUUUCAGCGGGGAGGAAGGGAGUAAAGUUAAUACCUGUGCUCAUUGACGUUACCCGCAGAAGAAGCACCGGCUAACUCCGUG
Molecule: ribosomal RNA, 490 nt
Filed under: uncultured bacterium
Lineage: Bacteria
Description: partial 16S ribosomal RNA
Rfam family: Bacterial small subunit ribosomal RNA
Source: RNAcentral